AUUGAACGCUGGCGGCAGGCUUAACACAUGCAAGUCGAGCGGAGUGAUGGUGCUUGCACUAUCACUUAGCGGCGGACGGGUGAGUAAUGCUUAGGAAUCUGCCUAUUAGUGGGGGACAACAUCUCGAAAGGGAUGCUAAUACCGCAUACGUCCUACGGGAGAAAGCAGGGGAUCACUUGUGACCUUGCGCUAAUAGAUGAGCCUAAGUCGGAUUAGCUAGGUGGUGGGGUAAAGGCCUACCAAGGCGACGAUCUGUAGCGGGUCUGAGAGGAUGAGACGCCACACUGGGGCUGAGACACGGCCCAGACUCCUACGGGAGGCAGCAGUGGGGAAUAUUGGACAAUGGGGGGAACCCUGAUCCAGCCAUGCCGCGUGUGUGAAGAAGGCCUUAUGGUUGUAAAGCACUUUAAGCGAGGAGGAGGCUCUUUUGGUUAAUACCCAAGAUGAGUGGACGUUACUCGCAGAAUAAGCACCGGCUAACUCUGUGCCAGCAGCCGCCGUAA
Molecule: ribosomal RNA, 503 nt
Filed under: uncultured bacterium
Lineage: Bacteria
Description: partial 16S ribosomal RNA
Rfam family: Bacterial small subunit ribosomal RNA
Source: RNAcentral